This 22675-nucleotide unclassified non-coding RNA is filed under the name Ooceraea biroi (clonal raider ant). RNAcentral's name for it is "ankyrin-3, transcript variant X18". The record is from RNAcentral. Lineage: Eukaryota; Metazoa; Arthropoda; Insecta; Hymenoptera; Formicidae.
GUCUAGGAGGGCGGUCGCGUCACGCUCGGUGCUUUCUUCGUCGCGCGAUUCGAGGCAGAGGUAUUAAAUACGUGUGCGUGUGUGCGCGCGCCAAGUCCGCGGCGGCCGGUCGAUGUGAGGAAGCGAAAACGCGGAGCGGACGGCGCAACGGAAGAUGACCGCGCGUCACCGUGUGAUUUGACAAGUGAGGAAGGAAGCGCUCGAUGGGGGCAGUGUCCCGUUGAAAAAUACCGUGGUGGUUAAUACCAGUGAACUCUGAGAUAUCGGGAUUCCGAGCCGUGGACCGUGGUUGGGAAUUAACGAGCGGAAGUAUCGGCGUAGCGAGGGAGGCGGGGACAACUACGACAGCGAGCACAACAGUGGCGGCGACAAGGGUGUGAGGCGACCAGAAAUCGGAGCGGACGAAGGAUGACGGGCGAGGAUGGGAAACGCGGCGGCGGCGCCGGCGAUGUUACCACCGAGGCGAACGUGAACACGAAUGUCACCAACAACGCCAACGUUAACGCCAACAUAAGUGUCAGCCAGCAGAACGGCGGCCCGGAAAAGGCACCCGUCGUCGGUGGCAGCAACGUGGAGACGUUACCUCGCGCCGGGAAGCAGACCGACCCUAGCACUUCGUUUUUACGGGCAGCUCGCGCUGGGCAACUCGAGAAGGUCUUGGAGUACUUGGAAUCUGGAGUAGACAUCAACUCUUCUAACGCUAAUGGUCUGAACGCUCUGCACUUGGCGGCUAAGGACGGCCACUUGGAAAUUGUGAAAGAGCUCCUAAAUCGUGGUGCGAUCGUGGACGCCGCUACCAAAAAGGGAAACACGGCGUUGCACAUAGCUUCUCUUGCUGGACAAGAGGAGGUUGUACAAUUGCUGGUACAAAAAGGUGCUUCUGUGAAUGCACAAUCGCAAAAUGGAUUCACGCCGUUGUACAUGGCUGCCCAGGAGAAUCAUGACUCCGUGGUCAAGUACCUCCUCAGCAAGAGUGCGAAUCAAACGUUGGCCACCGAGGACGGUUUCACUCCGUUGGCAGUAGCGAUGCAACAGGGUCACGACAAGGUAGUGGCCGUUCUACUAGAAAACGACACCCGUGGUAAAGUUCGACUACCCGCCCUACACAUCGCCGCUAAGAAAGACGACUGCAAGGCGGCUGCCCUACUUUUACAAAACGACCAUAAUCCCGAUAUAACAUCGAAAAGCGGCUUCACUCCGCUCCACAUAGCCGCACAUUAUGGUAACGACCGAAUCGCUUCCUUGCUUUACGACAGAGGCGCGGAUGUUAAUUUCGCGGCGAAGCACAAUAUCACGCCGAUACACGUAGCAGCGAAAUGGGGUAAGAUCAAGAUGGUCAAUCUCCUCAUGAGCAAGGGGGCCAACAUCGAGGCAAAAACGAGAGACGGCCUGACACCUCUGCAUUGCGCCGCAAGAUCCGGGCAUCACGAGGUGGUUGACAUUCUCAUCGAAAAGGGAGCACCCAUUGGCUCAAAAACGAAGAACGGUCUUGCGCCGUUACACAUGGCUUCUCAAGGGGAUCAUGUCGACGCCGCGAGGAUUUUGUUGUACCACCGUGCGCCCGUCGACGAGGUGACGGUGGACUAUCUGACCGCGCUGCACGUAGCCGCGCACUGCGGCCACGUACGCGUAGCCAAAUUACUUCUCGACAGAAACGCCGAUCCCAACGCACGGGCGCUCAACGGAUUCACCCCGCUUCAUAUCGCGUGUAAGAAGAAUCGCAUAAAGGUCGUCGAGCUCCUUUUGAAGCACAAAGCUAGCAUCGAAGCUACGACUGAGUCUGGAUUAACCCCGCUGCACGUGGCGAGUUUCAUGGGAUGUAUGAAUAUCGUGAUUUACUUGUUGCAACACGAAGCCAGUCCGGAUAUACCGACGGUGAGAGGCGAGACGCCGUUACACUUAGCUGCCAGGGCAAAUCAAACUGAUAUUAUUAGGAUACUUCUUAGAAACGGCGCCCAAGUCGACGCCAGAGCAAGAGAGGAGCAGACACCGCUUCACGUCGCUUCCCGCUUAGGUAACGUCGAUAUCGUGAUGUUGCUGCUGCAGCACGGCGCGGGCGUAGAUGCCACAACGAAGGAUUUGUACACUCCGCUUCAUAUCGCUGCUAAGGAAGGCCAGGAGGAGGUCGCAUCCGUUUUAUUAGAAAAUAGCGCGUCGCUCACCGCAACGACCAAGAAAGGAUUUACUCCCUUGCAUUUAGCGGCCAAGUACGGUAACAUGAAUGUGGCUCGAUUGCUGCUGCAAAAGAACGCACCUGUCGAUGCUCAAGGAAAGAACGGUGUAACGCCUCUCCAUGUAGCGUCUCACUACGAUCACCAGAACGUGGCUUUACUUUUACUCGAUAAAGGAGCCUCACCUCAUGCCAUGGCCAAGAACGGCCACACACCUUUACACAUCGCCGCACGCAAGAAUCAGAUGGACAUUGCGACUACCUUGCUGGAGUACGGAGCGAAAGCCAAUGCAGAAUCGAAGGCUGGCUUUACGCCGUUACAUCUGAGUGCACAAGAAGGCCACACUGAUAUGUCGACCCUUCUUAUCGAGCACAAAGCAGACACGAAUCACAAAGCGAAGAACGGCCUUACGCCUUUACAUUUAUGCGCACAAGAGGACAAAGUAAAUGUCGCCUCCAUUCUCGUGAAGAAUGGUGCUCAGAUCGACGCCAAGACCAAGGCUGGAUACACGCCACUACACGUGGCAUCCCACUUUGGUCAGGCAGCUAUGGUACGAUUCCUCCUGAGAUCUGGUGCUGCUGUCGACAGCAGCACCAAUGCUGGCUAUACUCCCCUUCAUCAAGCUGCUCAACAAGGACACACGCUUGUUAUUAAUCUACUGUUGGAAAGUAAAGCUAAACCGAAUGCUGUAACUAAUAACGGACAGACUGCCUUAGAUAUCGCACAAAAGCUCGGCUACAUAAGCGUCAUUGAAACAUUGAAAGUCGUCACCGAGACUGUUAUCACAACAACUCAUACCGUCACGAUCGAGGAAAAAUACAGAGUUCAAGCGCCUGAAUCCAUGCAGGAGACAUUCAUGAGCGACAGCGAGGACGAAGGAGGUGGUGAUGAAAUCAGCUCGGCAGCCAUGAAUGUGUACGGGCAGCCUCCGCACGCGCAACACGUGUACCUUCCUUCUUACUACCAGGGCCAAAUGACCUAUACCCGUGAGGAUCCAAUGCUCAGCGACCAACAGCAGUACCGAUACAUGAUUGUUGACGACAUGAAAUCCAUGGCAGACGACUCGACGUUGCGCAUGAACGUGACGGACGACGAAAGAGAUAAUCGACAUUCCGGAGCUCCAACCAUAACAGAGAUGAUUACGAAAGAGCAUUAUCAACGUACGCACGCGGCCAAUCUUAAGCCAGACAACGUAGACAUCCACAGGCAUCCUGUGCACGUCGGAAUUCCACAAUGGAGAAACUUCUUGGUUUCCUUUUUGGUGGACGCGAGAGGCGGUGCAAUGCGCGGAUGCAGGCACAGCGGUGUCCGGGUGAUUGUUCCACCGCGCAAAGCCGCGAUGCCUAUGCGUGUCACAUGCAGAUACUUGAGGAGGGACAAAUUGACCAAUCCACCACCGUUGAUGGAGGGAGAAGCAUUAGCUAGCCGCAUUCUCGAGUUGGGUCCUGUGGGUGCAAAAUUCUUAGGCCCUGUUAUUAUCGAGGUACCACACUUUGCGUCGCUACGCGGGAAAGAACGAGAGAUAGUGAUUCUGCGGUCGGACAACGGAGAGACUUGGCGCGAGCACACCUUGGAAGCCAGCGAGGAGGCUGUCCAGGAUGUGCUUAACGAGAGCUUUGAGGGAGAAGAGCUAAGCCAGCUGGAGGAUCUCCAGACGUCUCGUAUCGUGAGGAUACUCACUGUAGAUUUCCCACAUUACUUCGCGGUAGUAUCUCGCAUCAGACAAGAGGUACAUGCGGUUGGUCCCGAAGGUGGUACUGUAUCAUCGUCCGCUGUGCCGCAAGUGCAAGCUGUCUUCCCGCAAGCGGCUCUUACCAAGAAGAUCAGAGUCGGUCUACAGGCACAUCCUAUACCGGCGGAUCUCGUGGCUAAGUUACUCGGGAACAGAGUGGCCGUGUCGCCGAUUGUCACCGUGGAGCCGAGACGACGAAAGUUCCACAAGCCGAUAACUUUAACUAUCCCGGUGCCGCAGGCAGCCAAUAAAGGCAUGAUCAAUCAAUACUCCGGGGACGCACCGACACUGAGACUGCUGUGCAGCAUAACUGGAUUGAGUCAUUUAGGGGGUCAGACUCGGGCAGUCUGGGAGGACGUCACAGGCUCGACGCCGUUGACCUUCGUGAAAGAUUGCGUCUCCUUCACCACCACAGUUUCCGCCCGCUUCUGGUUGAUGGACUGCCGUAACAUCUCCGAGGCCACGAAAAUGGCCACGGAGCUGUACACGCACGCGACGCACGUGCCCUUUAUGGCUAAAUUUGUCGUGUUCGCGAAGCGAGUAGAUCCAUUAGAAGCGAGAUUACGUGUAUUCUGCAUGACGGAUGACAAAGAGGACAAAACUCUAGAACACCAGGAGCACUUCACGGAAGUCGCGAAAAGCAGAGACGUCGAGGUUCUAGAAGGAAAAACGCAGUACAUGGAAUUCUCGGGCAAUCUCGUGCCCGUCCUGAAAACGGGCGAGCAGCUGCAGCUACCAUUCAGAGCAUUCAAGGAGAACAGAGUCCCGUUCACUGCGAGGAUAAAGGACCCGGAUGCCGCGGAUAUGAUGGGCCGGAUCAUGUUUAUGAGCGAGCCGAAAGUCCCGCGGGGCGAGCUACCGCAGACGCCGAUCUGCACGCUAAAUAUAUUGCUGCCGGAGAAGAUCUCGCCGGAUACCGCGGUCUCCGAGCUCGAUUUGCUGGAGCUGUCGAAGAACUACAGCUUCCUGCGCGAUGGCGGGAUAAGCAGACCGGAUGCUAUACACAGAGCGACUAUCCGUUUAACAGAUAUCGCCAAUCUCUUGGAUAAGGACUGGGAAUCGCUAGCGGAGGAGCUGAACAUCCCGCCUACCGAUGUGGCCCUGAUCAAGCAAGAGUAUCCCGAUCAACCCGCGCAGCAAGCUGCUGCCAUGUUCAAACUCUGGCAGAGCAGCGAGAACAAAGCCACGGGAAAUACGCUAGAAAAGGCUCUGAAUAAGAUCGGUCGAGAGGAUAUAGUAAACAAAUGUAUCUUCAACGUCGAGCUAGUGACCGACGAUGUGGAAAAGGCUGUGGCAAGAGUCCGAUUGGAUCAGCCAGGCUUUGACUCAUUAAAAGAGGAAUUGGGGCCGUCGAGAAACACGUCACUUCGCCGUAAUACAACUAUGGAUCCUAAGAUGGACCCUGAUUACGAAGAGCCUGAUAGAAUGAAGGACUCUGAAUCAGUCGAGGAUCUCAGCGUCACCGGCAACGUACACGAUAAACCCAAAGAGCACGUCACUAUCACAAACGGCACUGUAUUCAACGGAACCUCGACCCCCAUCAAAGACAAAUACGCGAGCGACGAGAAAGAGCUCGGCGACAUGAUGGCUGAUUACCUUGAGCACAAAUGUCACGCGGCCGACAUGAUGAGCAAAAAAUCGCGCGACGAACUGGACGAUCCGGAGAAAAAACGCCAGAAAGCGAUCGCCGACGCCAACAAGAUAGUCUCUGGUGUAAUAGCAGACGCAGAGAAAGAGAAGGGGAAGUUAGCGAAGGAAGGGUGGUCGGUGGUUUAUGAUGAUGAUGCGCGGGACAGUAAAGAGGCGCGGGGUGCAAUAGGGCAGACCUUAAUUAACGUUCAAUUAGAUAAAGCGGCCACCGAGCCGAAAGGUAUAGUUCCCAAACCGGUUAUCGAGCAAGUACCGAGUGUCGAGCCUCCGAUGAUUAGGAAGCAUCGCGACGACAAGCCGGAUUCUAAAACUAGCACGACGAAAACUGUAGUUUCCGUUAGCGGUGAUCCGAAAGUAGGUCAGACGGUAGUUACUAAAACCACGGUAAUCAAACAGUUCGAUCGUUCGUCUCCGACCAAGACCGUGAUCACGAAGGAAACGAUUGUUUCCCCAGAUAAAAAAGAUAUCGUUAGCGAAAAGGAGAAACUGUCCAAAGAGGGUAAGGAAGUCGACGAGAAGUUGACUCGGGGUGCGAUACCCACGGAUACGAGCGUAGCACAGAAAACAGUAAAAACUGAAAUCGUAACUCGAACUGAACAGAAAAAAUCAGAAGUUAAAGCUCCCACGGACAAGGAGAAGGGAAAAGAAAAGGAUAAAGGCAAAGAAAAAGACAAGGACAUCACUGUGAAACACACGGACAAGGGAAGAGAAAAAGAUAAAAGCAAAGAAAAAGACAAGGAUAAAGAAAAGGAUAAGGACAUCACUGUGAAACCCACGGACAAGGACAAGGGAAAAGAAAAAGGCAAAGAAAAAGACAAGGAUAAAGAGAAGGAUAAGAACAUCACUGUGAAACCCACGGAUAAGGACAAGGGAAAAGAAAAAGGCAAAGAAAAAGACAAGGAUAAAGAGAAGGAUAAGGACAUCACUGUAAAACCAGCGAAGACAUCAGCUUAUGAAGACAUUUACAAUGUGCAGCAUCCGACAGACAGCACGGAAGAGAAAUCUGACGAAGAAGGCAAGAAAACGAAGAGUAGCAGAAUAUUCUCGGGUAUCUUCAAAGGUUCCAAGUUGAAGAGGGGUAAAAAAGGUUCGAAGGAUACGUCGUUCGAUAGCGGCGACGAAGAACCAAGGGUUGUCGUACCGAAAACCUCAGAGCAACAGCAUCCCUUCAGCCACACAAUAGAUCCGCAUGACAUUAGCAAAAAACUCGCGGACAUCAGUGCCGCUCAAGUGAAAACGGCUACCGCGGAAUUUUUGCAUGAUUGUAGACGAGUUGCCGCAGAUAUGCAUGUACCUUACGAAGAUGUUACUAAACCAACGGAGAGUGCAACGAAGGAGGAGAAGAAAACAGAGCCCACCGAGAGCGACGAUGAUGGCAAGGAUAAAACUGGUUUCUUUUCGAGUUUGUUUAAGAGUAAAUCUAAAAAGGACGAAGACGGAGCAGCUAUACCCGCAAUUCACGUCGACAAACCUAAAGAAAGCGCGGAGCAAAUUGCGAAGAAAGAGAAGAAGCGAUUGGCAGCGGUCGCGAAAGAAAACGAAGAAUUACUCGAGAUGCAAAUGAAGGAAAAAGAGAAAGAAGCCGAAGCGUCUAAAGUCACCGAGGUGCCCAGUACGAUCGAAAAAGAAGCCGAAAAAGCCGCGAAGAAUGGUGUGAAAGCUGUUGAAGAUGUCAAGAGCAUGGUAGUCGAGAAAACUGUAGAUGAACAGUCACAUGUCAAAGAUGGUGAGAAAGAGAAAGAGGAGGAUCAAACAAAGGAGAAGGGAGGCUUCUUUGGCAUCUUCAGGAGUCCAAAAUCUAAGGAGAAAAAAAUGGGCAAGUCAAAGGAAACAUCCUUUGACAGCGGCGACGAGGAGAUUAAGAUUGCGACAGAAAAGCUGUUGGAUGACACGCGAAAAGUUGCCGAUAUCAGUGUGUUACCAAUUGCAUAUAAGAGUGACGGUACAAAAACCAUCCCCGAAGAAGAGGUACGUGCAUUUGUCUCGACUACUCACUACGACGCCGAUGUUCCUGCGGACAAAAUCGGCAAAUCUUACGAUGUUGUACAAACUAAGACGACAAUCGUAGAGAAGACGAUUACUCGUGAGACGAUAAACGGGAAAGCGGAUGUCGAUACAGAGAAAGAUCAGAAAGGAGAAACGCGAGACGCCGAGAAAUCCAUUUCCGAAGUGAAAUCCGAGACACCGGAACAGAAAGUAUCCGAAACGGAGAAAGAGACGAGCGAUGACACCAAGGAAAAGAGCGGCGGUUUCUUUGGCAUGUUCAAGAGUCCGAAACUGAAGAGCAAGAAGAGGAGUAGAUCCCGAGAGCAGAGUUCCUCAAAGGAGACUUCGUUUGACAGCGGCGACGAAGAAGUCCGAUUGGCAACAGCGAAACUUUUGGAGGAUACAAGACAGAUGGCGGAAAGUCUGCAGCAAGGUCCUACUGAAAAAAUAACAGAGCAGCGAGAGACAGUCGCGAAGAGUCCACCUAUUAAGAGCGAAGAAAUUCAGAAAUCUGUUAUUCCCGAAGAUGAAACGAUCGAAAAAGAUAAGGGAGGUGGUAUUUUCGGUAUGUUCAGAAGUCCCAGGCAAGCGAGAAGCUCUAGAAGCAGGUCCAAGGAGAAGACUCCGUCGCUUGAAUUGCCAGAUACUGUCCACGAGGAUUUACGAGAAGCAACUGCGAAAUUCCUCGAGGAUACGCGAAACAUGGCGGCUAUCACUGGUGAAUCUACAGAACAACCGAAGGAUAAAAUCCCGGCUGAAAUAAAGCCUGAGGAAGAUGAUAAAUUAGCGACUGGAACAAAGAAAAUUGCGACUACGAUAGAAGAUGUUGGUAAAGCUGUUAAGGAUGGCAAAGAUGCGAUUGACAAAAAGGUAGAUGAUAAAUCACGCGACAUUGUCGAGAGUGCCGAGGCUACGAAGGACAAGGCAACCAAGGAAGCAAAGAAAAUGAAAGAAAAGGGAUCAGGAUUUUUAUCAGGAAUAUUUAAGGGCGCGAAACAUGCUGUAGAAGAAGUAUCUGAUGAUGUUAAAGAUUUCUUGGAUGAAACAAAGAAAGAAGCUGCCUUAGAGGAAGCGCGAGCAAAAGAAGCAGCAGCUGCUGGCUUAAAGGAUUUAGAACAGAAGAAAGAUAGUGCAGUUGCUGGCGCGAAAGACGCUGCUGAGAAAGCUGUGGUAGACGUUAAGGAUGCCAAAGAUAAAACAGUGUCUUCUGUAAAAGAGAAGAAGGAAAAAAUCACUCAUAAGAUCUCGAAAGACGUCGAGAAGACAGCAAAUCUCACAGAAGCUACCAGCGAAAAAGUUGCAACAGAUGUGAAGAAAGUCGGUGAGAAACUAGAAACUACUGCAAAAGAUGCUGCACAGGCCGGAAAGGAAAUGAAAGAAGCAGCUACUACGGCGAUAAAGGAAGAUGCUAAAGUUGUGAAAGAAAAGUUAUCGUCCGGUGCUGAAUCAGUUGCGGAUACCGCAGCAUCUGCUAAAGACAAAGCUGCAAAGGAAGCGAAGAAAGUUAAGGAAAAGGGAAGUGGUUUCUUCUCCGGCAUAUUCAAAGGCGCGAAACACGCAGCAGAAGAUGUGACUGAUGACGUAAAAGAAUUCUUAGACGAAACGAAGAAAGAAGCUGAAUUGGAAGAAGAACGAGUUAAGGAACAAGUUGCUGCUGAUGUGAAAGAUUUAAAGGAUAAAAAGGAUGCUGUUGUUACCGGAAUUCAAGAAACGGCAGACAAAGCUGUUACUGAUGUAAAAGAUGCGAAAGAUAAAACCGUAUCCGCUAUUAAAGACAAGAAAGAUAAAAUUGCAGAAGAAGUGUCCAAAGACGGUGAACAAAUUGCUGAUACGGCUAAAACUGCUGGUGAGAAAGUAGUAACAGAAACAAAAAAAGCUGAAGAGAAAAUAGAAGAAGCUGCUGCAGAUGUUGCGAAAGGCGUUAAAGAUACGAAAGAUGCAGCAGUUAAAGAAAUAAAAGAAGAUACGAAAGUAGUGAAAGAAAAAUUAGCUGCUGGUGCUGAUGCGGUUGCUGAGACUGCAGAAGGUACAAAAGAUAAGGCAAAGAAAGAAGCGAAAAAAGCUAAAGAAAAAACAAGUGGAUUUUUCUCCGGCAUAUUUAAAGGAGCCAAACAUUCUGUAGAAGACGCGACUAGUGAUGUAAAAGAAUUCUUGGACGAAACGAAGAAAGAAGCUGAAUUGGAAGAAGAACGAGUUAAGGAACAAGUUGCUGCUGAUGUGAAAGAUUUAAAGGAUAAAAAGGAUGCUGUUGUUACCGGAAUUCAAGAAACGGCAGACAAAGCUGUUACUGAUGUAAAAGAUGCGAAAGAUAAAACCGUAUCCGCUAUUAAAGACAAGAAAGAUAAAAUUGCAAAAGAAGUGUCCAAAGACGGUGAAAAAAUUGCUGAUACGGCUAAAACUGCUGGUGAGAAAGUAGUAACAGAAACGAAAAAAGCUGAAGAGAAAAUAGAAGAAGCUGCUGCAGAUGUUGCGAAAGGCGUUAAAGAUACGAAAGAUGCAGCAGUUAAAGAAAUAAAAGAAGAUACGAAAGUAGUGAAAGAAAAAUUAGCUGCUGGUGCUGAUGCGGUUGCUGAGACUGCAGAAGGUACAAAAGAUAAGGCAAAGAAAGAAGCGAAAAAAGCUAAAGAAAAAACAAGUGGAUUUUUCUCCGGCAUAUUCAAAGGAGCCAAACAUGCCGUAGAAGAUGCGACUGAUGAUGUAAAAGAAUUCUUGGACGAAACGAAGAAAGAAGCUGAGCAGGAAGAAGUACAUCUUAAGGAAAAAGUUGCUGCCGGUGUGAAAGAUUUAAAGGACAAAAAGGAUGCUGUCGUUACCGGAGUUCAAGAAACGGCAGACAAAGCUGUUACUGAUGUAAAAGAUGCAAAAGAGAAAACCGUAUCCGCUAUUAAAGACAAAAAAGAUAAAAUUGCAGAAGAAGCGUCCAAAGACGCUGAAAAAAUUGGUGAUACUGCUAAAGCUGCUGGUGAGAAAGUUGCAACUGAAACGAAAAAGAUUGGUGAGAAAAUAGAAGAAGCUGCUGCAGAUGUUGCGCAAGGUGUUAAAGACUCGAAAGAUGCAGCGGUUAAAGAAGUAAAGGAAGAUGCGAAAUUAGUCAAAGAAAAAUUAACCGCGGGUGCUGACGCUGCUGCAGAAGCUUCAGAUGUUGUUAAAGAUAAAGCAAAGAAAGCUAAAGAGAAAGGAAGCGGUUUCUUUUCCGGCAUUUUUAAAGGAGCGAAGCAUGCAGUAGAGGAGACAACCGGUGAUGUUAAGGAAUUUUUGGAUGACACGAAGAAAGAAGCUGAAUUGGAAGAAGCACGUGCUAAAGAAAAACUUGCGGCAAGUGUGAAAGAUUUGAAAGAUAAAAAGGAUGCUGUUGUUACCGGAGUGCACGAGACGGUAGACAAAGCUGUUACUGAUGUAAAAGAUGCGAAAGACAAAACUGUAUCCGCUAUUAAAGACAAGAAAGAUAAAAUUGCAGAAGAAGUGUCCAAAGACGCUGAAAAAAUUGGUGAUACUGCUAAAGCUGCUGGUGAGAAAGUCGCAGCUGAAACGAAAAAGAUUGAUGAGAAAAUAGAAGAAGCUGUUGCAGAUGUUGCGCAAGCUGCUAAAGAUACCAAAGAUGCAGCGGUUAAAGAAGUAAAGGAAGAUACGAAAUUAGUCAAAGAAAAAUUGACAGAAAGUGCUGAUGCGGUUGCUGAGACUGCAGAAAGUGCAAAAGAUAAGGCGAAGAAAGAAGCGAAAAAAGCUAAAGAAAAAACAAGUGGAUUUUUCUCCGGCAUAUUUAAAGGAGCCAAACAUUCUGUAGAAGACGCGACUAGUGAUAUAAAAGAAUUCUUGGACGAAACGAAGAAAGAAGCUGAAUUGGAAGAAGAACGAGUUAAGGAAAAAGUUGCUGCUGAUGUGAAAGAUUUAAAGGAUAAAAAGGAUGCUGUUGUUACCGGAGUUCAAGAAACAACAGACAAAGCUGUUACUGACGUAAAAGAUACAAAAGAUAAAACUGUAUCUGCUAUUAAAGACAAGAAAGACAAGAUUGUGGAGGAGGUUUCCAAAGACGUUCAAAAAGUCGCUGAUACCACUAAAGCUGCUGGUGAGAAAGUAGCAAAGAAAACGAAAAAAGCUGGAGAGAAAAUAGAGGCAGCUGCUGCAGAUAUUGCGCAAGGUGCUAAAGACACGAAAGAUGCAGCGAUUAAAGAAAUAAAAGAAGACACGAAAGUAGUGAAAGAAAAAUUAGCAGCGGGUGCUGAUGCUGCUGCAGAUACUGCAAGCACUGCGAAGGAUAAAGUAACGAAAGAAGCAAAGAAAGCUAAGGAAAAGACAAGUGGAUUCUUUUCUGGCAUAUUCAAGGGUGCAAAACACGCUGCUGAAGAUGUAUCUGAAGAUGUGAAAGAAUAUGUGAGCGAUACGAAAAAGGAAACAGCAGAAGAAUUGGAAGAUCUAAAACAUAAGAAGGAUGACAUAAUACAUAGUACAAAAGAUACCGCAGAGAAGACUAUCGAGGAUGUAAAAGAGGCCAAGGAUAAGACUGUUUCCGCUGUGAAAGAUACGAAAGACAGGAUUGUGGACACGACUGCUGAAAGCGUAGAAACGGCAACAGAUAAAUUGAAAACAGCUAGCGAUGAUGUAGUUACUAAAACUAAGGAAAUAGGCGAAAAAGUAGAAACCACCGCUGUAGAUGUUGGACGCAGCGUGAAAGAUGCUAAGGACGCAGUAAUUACAGAAGCGAAAGAAGAUGCUAAAGCUGUGAAAGAAAAAUUGGCUGCUGGUGUUGAAUCUGUCUCAGAAACAGCGGAGGCUACCAAAGACAAAGCAGCUAAGGAGGCGAAGAAAGCUAAAGAUAAAACUAGCGGCUUCCUUUCAGGAAUAUUUAGAGGAUCGAAACAUUCUGUAGAUAGCGCGACAGAUGAUAUAAAGGAAUUCUUAGAGGAAACAAGGAAGGAAGCGGCGAUAGAGCAAGCACGUGUCAAGGAGGCAGCGGAAGCGGAACUGAAAGAUCUAGAGCGCAAAAAGGACAGUGCUGUUGCCGAAGCGAAAGAAGCAAAAGAUCGUGCGUCCGAGAAAAUAACUGAUCAACUAGAAAAAACAGCUGAUGCAACUAAAACAACAGGUGAUACAAUAAUAACAGAUACGAAAAAAGUUGUUGGUGAUAUUGCACAAGACAUUGCAGAUACCAAGGAUGCUGUAGCAACAGAAGUAAAAAAAGAUGUGCAAACAACAAAAGAUAAAUUAAAGACAGGAGGUGAUGCUGUAGUAGAGAGUGGCACAACUACAAAAGACAAAGUAGCAAAGGAAACAAAAAAAGUUAAAGAGAAAGGUAGCGGUUUUCUUUCGGGAAUAUUUAAAAGUGCAAAGCACGCUGCAGAAGAAGUAUCUGAUGAUGUAAAGGCAUUUGUGGACGAAACGAAGAAAGAAGCUGAAUUGGAAGAAGCACAUGCUAAGGAAAAAGUUGCAGCAGGUAUGAAAGAUGUAAAAGAUACAAAGGAUGCUGUUGUUACUGGAGUUCAAGAUGUCACAGAAAAAGCUGUUACUGAUGUGAAAGAUGCAAAAGACAAAACUGUAUCCGCUAUUAAAGACAAGAAAGAUAAAAUUAGAGAAGAAGUUUCCAAGGAUGUUCAAAAAGUUGCCGAUACCACGAAAGCUGCUGGUGAGAAAGUAGUAACAGAAACGAAAAAAGCUGGAGAAAAAAUAGAAGAAGCUGCUGCAGAUGUUGCGCAAGCUGUUAAAGACACUAAAGAUGCAGCGAUUAAAGAAGUAAAGGAAGAUACGAAAUUAGUCAAAGAAAAAUUGGCCAUAGGUGCUGACGCGGUAGCUGAGACUGCAGAAGGUGCAAAAGAUAAGACGAAGAAAGAAGCGAAAAAAGCUAAAGAAAAAACAAGUGGAUUUUUCUCCGGCAUAUUCAAAGGAACCAAACAUGCCGUAGAAGAUGCGACUGACGAUGUAAAAGAAUUCUUGGACGAAACGAAGAAAGAAGCUGAGCUGGAAGAAGCACAUCUUAAGGAAAAAGUGUCUGCCGGGGUGAAAGAUUUAAAGGAUAAAAAGGAUGCUGUUGUUACCGGAGUUCAAGAAACGGCAGACAAAGCUGUUACUGACGUAAAAGAUGCGAAAGACAAAACCGUAUCCACUCUUAAAGACAAGAAAGACAAAAUUGUAGAAGAGGUUUCCAAGGAUAUCCAAAAAGUUGCUGAUACCACGAAAACUGCUGGUGACAAAGUAAUAACAGAAACGAAAAAAGUCGAGGAGAAAAUAGAAGCAAUUGCUGCAGAUGCUACGCAAGGCGUUAAAGACACGAAAGAUGCAGCAGUUAAAGAAGUAAAAGAAGACACAAAAUUAGUCAAAGAAAAAUUAGCAGCAGGCGCUGAUGCUGCUGCAGGUACUGCAAGCACUGUAAAGGAUAAAGCGACGAAAGAAACGAAGAAAGCUAAAGAGAAAACAAGUGGAUUCUUCUCCGGAAUAUUUAAAGGAGCCAAACAUUCUGUAGAAGACGCGUCUGACGAUGUAAAAGAAUUCUUGGAUGAAACGAAGAAGGAGGCUGAAUUGGAAGAAGCACGUAUUAAGGAAACAGUUGCCGCCGGUGUGAAAGAUGUAAAGGAUAAAAAGGAUGCUGUCGUUACUGGAAUUCAAGAUUCUGCUGACAAAGCUGUGACUAAGGCAAAAGAUGCGAAAGAUAAAACUGUAUCCGCUAUUAAAGACAAGAAAGAUAAAAUUGCAGAAGAAGUUUCUAAGGAUGCUCAAAAAGUUGAUGAUGCCACGGAAGCUGUUGGUGAGAAAGUAGUAACAGAAACAAAAAAAGCUGGAGAGAAAAUAGAAGAAGCUGCUGCAGAUGUUGCGAAAGGCGUUAAAGAUAUGAAAGAUGCAGCAGUUAAAGAAAUAAAAGAAGAUACGAAAGUAGUCAAAGAAAAAUUAGCCGCCGGUGCUGAUGCGGUUGCUGAGACUGCAGAAGGUACAAAAGAUAAGGCGAAGAAAGAAGCGAAAAAAGCUAAAGAAAAAACAAGUGGAUUUUUCUCCGGCAUAUUUAAAGGAGCCAAACAUUCUGUAGAAGACGCGACUAGUGAUGUAAAAGAAUUCUUGGACGAAACGAAGAAAGAAGCUGAAUUGGAAGAAGCACGUGCUAAGGAAAAAGUGUCUGCCGGUAUGAAAGAUUUAAAGGAUAAAAAGGAUGCUGUUGUUAGCGGAGUUCAAGAAGCUACAGACAAAGUUGUUACUGAUGUGAAAGAUGCCAAGGAGAAAACAAUAGCUGCCGCAAAAGAUAAGAAAGAGAAAGUUACGGACGAAAUUUCGAAAGAUGCUGAAAAAGCUGCUGAUGCUGCGAAAGCAGUUGGUGAGAAAGUCGCAGCUGAAACGAAGAAGAUUGGUGAGAAGAUAGAAAUAGCUGCAGCAGAUGUCGCCCAAGUUGCUAAAGACACGAAAGAUGCGGCGGUUAAAGAAGUAAAGGAAGAUACGAAAUUAGUCAAGGAAAAAUUGACAGCAGGUGCUGACUUUGCUACAGAUACUGCAAGCAGGGCAAAGGAUAAAGCGACGAAAGAAACGAAGAAAGCUAAAGAGAAAACAAGUGGAUUCUUCUCCGGAAUAUUUAAAGGAGCCAAACAUUCUGUAGAAGACGCGUCUGACGAUGUAAAAGAAUUCUUGGAUGAAACGAAGAAGGAGGCUGAAUUGGAAGAAGCACGUGCUAAAGAAAAAGUUGCUGCCGGUGUGAAAGAUUUAAAGGAUAAAAAGGAUGCUGUUGUUACCGGAGUUCAAGAAGCUACAGACAAAGCUGUUACUGACGUAAAAGAUGCAAAAGACAAAACUGUAGCCGCUGUUAAAGACAAGAAAGAUAAAAUUGCAGAAGAAGUGUCUAAAGACGCUGAAAAAAUUGCUGAUACCGCUAAAGCUGCUGGUGAGAAAGUUGCCGCUGAAACGAAAAAGGUUGGUGAGAAAAUAGAAGAAGCUACUGCAGAUGUUGCGCAAGCUGCUAAAGAUACCAAAGAUGCGGCGGUUAAAGAAGUAAAGGAAGAUACGAAAUUAGUCAAAGAAAAAUUGACAGAAAGUGCUGAUGCGGUUGCUGAGACUGCAGAAAGUGCAAAAGAUAAGGCGAAGAAAGAAGCGAAAAAAGCUAAAGAAAAAACAAGUGGAUUUUUCUCCGGCAUAUUUAAAGGAGCCAAACAUUCUGUAGAAGACGCGACUGGUGAUAUAAAAGAAUUCUUGGACGAAACGAAGAAAGAAGCUGAGCAGGAAGAGGCACGUAUUAAGGAAAAAGUUGCUGCUGAUGUGAAAGAUUUAAAAGAUAAAAAGGAUACUGUUGUUACCGGAAUUCAAGAAACGGCAGACAAAGCUGUUACUGAUAUAAAAGAUGCGAAAGAUAAAACUGUAUCCGCUAUUAAAGACAAGAAAGAUAAAAUUGCAGAAGAAGUGUCCAAAGACGGUGAAAAAAUUGCUGAUACGGCUAAAACUGCUGGUGAGAAAGUUGCCACUGAAACGAAAAAGAUUGGCGAGAAAAUAGAAGAAGCUGCUGCAGAUGUUGCACAAGUUGCUAAAGAUAUCAAAGAUGCGACGGUUAAAGAAGUAAAGGAAGAUACUAAAUUAGUCAAAGAAAAAGUAGCAGCGGGUGCUGCAGAAGCUACAGAUGUUGUUAAAGAUAAAGCGAAGAAAGCUAAAGACAAAGGAAGCGGUUUCUUUUCCGGCAUUUUUAAAGGAGCGAAGCAUGCAGUAGAAGAAACAACCGAUGAUGUUAAGGACUUUUUGGAUGAGACGAAGAAAGAAGCUGAAUUAGAAGAAGCGCGUGCUAAAGAAGCUGCUGCUGCGAAACUGAAAGAUAUAAAAGACAAAAAGGACAGUGCAGUUGCUGCUGGUAAGGAUGCUACGGAUAAAACAAUAUCUGAUAUAAAAGACACUAAAGAAAAAACAGUUUCUGCAAUAAAAGAUAAAAAGGAUGAAAUGGCGAAGAAAAUAUCCGAGGAUUCUCAAAAAGUAAUUGAAACCACGAAGGCGGAAGGUGAUAAAUUAGUGACGGAUGCGAAGGCAGUUGAAGAAAAAAUUGAAGGGAUUGCAAAAGAUUUCGCACAAGACAUUAAAACUACUAAGGAAAAAGCCAGUGAAGAAAUUAAAGCAGAUGUAAAAGUUGUAAAAGAAAAAUUAGUUUCGGGAGCUGAAGCUGUAGCAGAUGGUGCACAAACAGCCAAAGAAAAAGGAGUGAAAGAGGCAAAGAAAGUUAAAGAGAAGGGUUCUGGAUUUUUCUCGAAUAUAUUUAAAGGAGCAAAACAUACGGCUGAAGAUAUAUCUGAUGACGUCAAAGGGAGUGUGGACGAUAUCAAGAAAGAAGCUACUUCUGAAGGAGAACAUAUCAAGGAUAUCAAGGAAGCGACGGAAUCAGGACUGAAGAAGUUGAAAGACAAGAAAGAUAGUGCGAUCAGUAGCAUAAAGGAUACGAAAGAUGAAGCAAAAGCAGCUAUCAAAGAAUCAUCGGAAAAAAUGACAGAAAAAUUGUCUGAUAGUGUCGAUAAAACUGCUGAAAGUCUUAAAAAAGCAAGCGACAAAGUAGCGACUGACGUAAAGGAAACGACCGAAAAAACAAAAUCAGUGGGACGAGAUCUUGUAGACAGCAUUAAAGAUACAAAGGAUAAAAUCGCAAAGGAAGUUAAGGAAGAUGCGCAAAUAGUCAAGGAAAAAUUAACGGACGGAACGGAAGUCGUUACAGACAAGGCAGAAGCGGCAAAACACAAAGUCGCUAAAGAAGCAAAAAAGGCAAAAGAUAAGGGAUCCGGUUUUCUUUCUGGAAUGUUUAAAGGUGCGAAACAUAGUGCAGAAAGUGCAACUGAUGACAUGAACAAAUUUUUGGAUGAAAUGCGAAAGGAUGCAUCGUCGGAACACGAUCGUUUAAAAGAAGGUACAGUUGCAGAAUUGAAGCAUCUGGAACAUAAGAAGGAUAGUGUUGUUAGCAGCACGAAGGAUAUAGCGGAUCAAGCUGUUGCUGAAAUAAAAGAUGUCAAGGAUAAAACUGUCGCAACUGCAAAAGAUGCGAAGGAAAAAAUCACUAAAAAAGUAUCCGAAGAUAUUGCAAAAACUGCUGAUGCAGCCAAAGGUGCUAAAGACAAAGUAACAUCAGGAGUAAAAGAAGUUGCUGAGAAAGUAGAUUCAACGGCACAUGAUAUUGCACAAGGAGUUGCAGAUACAAAGGAUGCAGCUGUCAAAGAGGUGCAGGAUGAUGCGAAAGAGGUAAAAGAAAAAUUAGCAGCUGGAGUUGGAGCUGUAGCUCACGGCGCUGAGACUGCUAAGACUAAAGCAAGCAAAGAAGCGAAAAAAGCUAAAGAAAAAGGAUCUGGUUUUCUAUCGGGAAUAUUCAAAGGUGCCAAGCAUUCCAUUGAAAGUGCAACAGACGACGUUAAAGAAUUUUUGGACGAAACGAAACACGAAGCGGAAGUGGAAGAAGCUCGCGCUAAAGAAACUGCUGCAGCAGCUUUGAAGGAUUUGGAGCAUAAAAAGGAAGCUGUUGUUAGUAGUGCAAAAGAUACAGCUGAUCAAGCAGUUGCUGGAGUAAAAGAUGCCAAGGAUAAAACUGUCGCAACUGCAAAAGAUGCGAAGGAAAAAAUCACUAAAAAAGUAUCCGAAGAUAUUGAAAAAACUGCUGAUGCAGCCAAAGGUGCUAAAGACAAAGUAACAUCAGGAGUAAAAGGAGUCGCUGAGAAAGUAGAUUCAACGGCACAUGAUAUUGCACAAGGAGUUGCAGAUACAAAGGAUGCAGCUGUCAAAGAGGUGCAGGAUGAUGCGAAAAAAGUAAAAGAAAAAUUAGCAGCUGGAGUUGGAGCUGUAGCAGACGGUGCUGAGUCUGUGAAAACCAAAGCGACUAAAGAAGCAAAGAAAGCUAAAGAAAAAGGAUCUGGUUUUCUAUCGGGAAUAUUCAAAGGUGCCAAGCAUUCCAUUGAAAGUGCAACAGACGACGUUAAAGAAUUUUUGGACGAAACGAAACACGAAGCGGAAGUGGAAGAAGCUCGCGCUAAAGAAACUGCUGCAGCAGCUUUGAAGGAUUUGGAGCAUAAAAAGGAAGCUGUUGUUAGUAGUGCAAAAGAUACAGCUGAUCAAGCAGUUGUUGGAGUAAAAGAUGUCAAGGAUAAAACUGUCGCAGCUAUGAAAGAUACAAAGGAAAAAAUUACUAAAAAAGUAUCCGAAGACAUUGAAAAAACUGCUGAUGCAGCCAAAGGUGCUAAAGACAAAGUAACAUCAGGAGUAAAAGGAGUCGCUGAGAAAGUAGAUUCAACGGCACAUGAUAUUGCACAAGGAGUUGCAGAUACAAAGGAUGCAGCUGUCAAAGAGGUGCAGGAUGAUACGAAAAAAGUAAAAGAAAAAUUAGCAGCUGGAGUUGGAGCUGUAGCAGACGGUGCUGAGUCUGUGAAAACCAAAGCGACUAAAGAAGCAAAGAAAGCUAAAGAAAAAGGAUCUGGUUUUCUGUCGGGAAUAUUCAAAAGUGCCAAGCAUUCCAUUGAAAGUGCAACAGACGACGUUAAAGAAUUUUUGGAUGAAACGAAACACGAAGCGAAAGUGGAAGAAGCUCGUGCUAAAGAAGCUGCAGCAGCGACUCUGAAGGAUCUGGAGCAUAAAAAGGAAGCUGUUGUUAGUAGCGCAAAAGAUACCGCUGAUCAAGCAGUUGCUGGAGUAAAAGAUGCCAAGGAUAAAACUGUCGCAGCUGUGAAAGAUACAAAGGAAAAAAUCACUAAAAAAGUAUCCGAAGACAUUGAAAAAACUGCUGAUGCAGCCAAAGGUGCUAAAGACAAAGUAACAUCAGAAAUAAAAGGAGUCGCUGAGAAAGUAGAUUCAACGGCACAUGAUAUUGCACAAGGAGUUGCAGAUACAAAGGAUGCAGCUGUCAAAGAGGUGCAGGAUGAUACUAAAAAGGUAAAAGAAAAAUUAGCAGCUGGAGUUGGAGCUGUAGCAGACGGUGCUAAAAGUACUAAGAGUAAAGCAACCAAAGAAGCAAAGAAAGUUAAAGAAAAAGGAUCCGGUUUUCUGUCAGGAAUAGUUAAAGGCGCUAAGCACGCUGUCGGAAGUGCAAAGGAUGACGUCAAGGAAUUCCUGGAUGAAACAAAGCACGAGGCGGAAAUCGAAGAAGCUCGUGCAAAAGAAGCGACAGCGGCUGGAUUGAAAGAACUGGAACACAAAAAGGAUACUAUUGUUGCCACCGCAACGGACGUUAAGGAAGACAUAAUUACUGAUAUCAAGGAUACGAAAGAUAAAGCUGCUAAAGAAGUUAGCCAGAUCACAGAUGCAACAAAAUCUACAAUUGACAAGUUAGCCACUGAAACAAAAAAGGUCGGUGAAAAAAUAGAAUCGAAAGCCACAGACAUUGCGCAUGAUAUAAGCGAUGCUAAAGAUAGUCUCGAUAAAAGAAUAAAGAAAGAUACGAAAACUGUGAAAGAUAAGCUAGUAUCGAGUGCCGAUGGUAUCGCGGACGAUGCCAAAGUAGCCAAGGAUAAGCUUGUGAAAGAUACGAAAAAGGCAAAAGAUGAAGGCUCUCAUGUACUAUCGGGAGUUGCCGGGGGUGCGAAACACGCAGGAAAGAAAGUUUCUGAUGAUGUAAAAGACUUUUUAGAAACAACCAGGCAGGAAGCAGCAGCUGAAGAAGCAUCUGCUAAAGAAGCCACAGCAGCAAAGCGGAAGGAACUCGAGCAAGCAAAGGAUAAAGCGACCGGUGAAAUUAGGGCUACCACGGACAAAGUUGUGAAAAGCGCGAAAACCGCCAAGGAAAAGAGCCUGUCCAGCGUAAAAGAUGCGAAAGAUAAAACAAUCUCCACUGUAAAAACAGCAGGUGACAAAAUUGGACAAGGUGCAUCGCAAGUUGGCAGCAGGAUUAAGUCCACCAGUCAGGAUGUGACGCAGAAAGCUAAACGUGCCAAAGACGCCACAGCGAGUCAAGUAAAGGAAGAUUCACGUAUAGUGAAGGAGAAAUUGGCAACUGGCGCGGGCACCAUCGCGGACACUGCGAGGUCCGCCAAGGAGAAGACCGUGAAGGACGCUAAGAAGACCAAACAAACGACGAGCGGCUUUUUGUCAGGUGUGGCAAAGAGCGCUAAACAUGCAAUAGAAGAUGCAACAGGUGACGUGAAAGAGUUUAUGGAGGAGACCAAGCAAGAAACGGCCGCGGAAGAAGCCCGCACCAAAAGCGAUAUCGCUCAAGCUAAGGACAAAUCCACCAGAGUGGUGAGCGACGUGAAGCAGAAAUCCGUUGGUGCCGUCAAAGACACGAAGAAGAAGAUCACCCAGAAGGUGUCCAAACCCUCAAAGGACGCACAUGUAGCGCCUGCUUCCACGGGCGAAGUAUCGAGAAAGUUAUCGACUGAAACGCGGAAGCUUAGUGGAAAAGUAGGGUCCGGACUCGCGGGCGAGCGCGUACGGGAGGUAGUUGUUCGUAGAUCCGGGGUAGCCGGUAAACCGGAAACGUCGGACGACGUUGAGCAUUUAACCGAGUCAGUUAGGGUAAAAAAAGUCUCUCGCAUUCCACAAAAAAGGAUUAGUCCGGGUAAGGAGACAACCAGUGAUGUCACGCUGGACGCUUCAGGUUCACGUAGUAGAGUAGUAGAGACGGUAUCCACCACGAUAGGGCACCCCGAGCCUCGUACACGGCACUCCGUCACCACAGUCGUGACAAAGUCGUCUGUGCAAACGACCCCACCGCCACCCAGUUCACUCGCCGAGUUCACUGACAGUAGAACCGAAGACGUGACCGAGGAGGCUGCGAGACGUGCCCAAAAUCUGGCAGAACAGGCAUACACCUCGGCGAAAGCAGGGCAUGAUUCGGCUGAGAUUGAUGGGACUGUAGAGAGGCAUGCUACUUCUGCUCCGUCAAAGCAACCCGUUCCCGCCCCGCGUCACUCCACCACCAAGCCGUCUACCAAACCUGAGUUCCAUCUGGAGCUCAGAGACGUCCCGCGAACACGUAAAAUGGUAGCUGAACCGCCACUCAAGUCGCAGGAAGCGCAGUCGCCGAGCAAUGGCAGUCCGAAAAGUAAGAUACCCCUGAAGAUCGAUUCGUACGCGUCCAAACUGAACGAUGACUUUGGCAUUGUCACCACGAGAUCCAUCAUCGAAUCGGACGUUCCGCAACCGGUCUCACGAACCGUCAGAUACAUCACCAGAGAGUACACAGACGGGGAACUGAAGAAAGAGACCGUGGAGGAGAAUGUACCCCCAAAGAACGCGAUUCGCACGAUCGAACCGGGCGACGUAGCUGACAUCACGAUGAGGCGAGGGGAGAAGCCAGCCUCGUUGGAACAAGUACGACGAACCACGACCACAGUAGUGACCAGCGACCCGUCAGUCGAUCCCGAGAAGUUGGAGGAACUUCUCAAGACCGGCGGAGUCGUGGAAACGGUGAGAACCGUGACUUUGACGGCAGAGGACGGCGCCCUGCAGCCCAUGACGCGCGAGGAAGUCGUGAGGAGGAUAAACCAGGUCGCCAGCACGCUACCAAGCGAGAUUUUUGACUUUGGUGACAAGCUUCCAGAUUCAUCCACCACCACAGUGAGAACCGAUAGAUCAGAAGCUGACGGUGUCGUACAGACAGUUACAACUGUGCAACGCGUGACGAUGGAAGCGCCGGAGACGCAGAGGACCGAGAGGGUUGUAAGUACUGUAGUCUCCAGCGGCGGGGGCGGCGGCGGCGGCUAUGGUGAUGCGGAAUCCGCUCUAAAGAGCCUCCAGGAACGAUUGGCGAGAUCCGAGAUCGGCGAGACCGCUUCCUGGACGGCGGAUGAUCAUCAGUGGGAAACAAUGGCACAGGGCUCUCAAGACACGUCGCCCGGCUCCGGCGGUGCCGACGUGUUCGCCAACAGCAACAACAACCACAGCAACAAGAACGGUGGUAGCGCGAGGCACGAUGUGCACAGCGACACCGAUAGUGACGGUUCGCCGCAACCUAGAAGAAGAUCACCGAGCAAGAGGCGUACAUUGGGCAGUUCCAGCGGGUCGGAUGUAGCACUGCACGAAGGUGCGGAGCUGUCCCCGUUGGAGGACGACCAAGCUCUCUUCUGACAAUAAGCAACUCAAGAUAAAGCUAAAGUGUAGAGGGACCAACAGUCGUGUUUUUUAGUCACGUUAGGAUUGUUAGGCGAAUCGUCAUAAUCUGACUUUUUGCAACAUAGCGAGCCAUCCUACAUGGAAACGACAACGAUCGAGGUGGAUCCUGUCACGCAGG